This is a long non-coding RNA of Oncorhynchus keta (chum salmon), 419 nucleotides long. RefSeq lists it as uncharacterized. The record is from RefSeq and is a predicted model, not a curated record. The transcript has 4 exons. Lineage: Eukaryota; Metazoa; Chordata; Actinopteri; Salmoniformes; Salmonidae.
UGUUUGGGUUUCAUCCCUGUGUAUUUAUUAGAGGUUUACCCUCGCUCCUUUGUUUGGGUUACAUCCCUGUGUAUUUAUUAGAGGUUUACCCUCGCUCCUUUGUUUGGGUUACAUCCCUGUGUAUUUAUUAGAGGUUUACCCUGGCUCCUUUGUUUGGGUUACAUCCCUGUGUAUUUAUUAGAGGUUUACCCUGGCUCCUUUGUUUGGGUUACAUCCCUGUGUAUUUAUUAGAGGUUUACCCUCGCUCCUUUGUUUGGGUUACAUCCCUGUGUAUUUAUUAGAGGUUUACCCUGGCUCCUUUGUUUGGGUUACAUCCCUGUGUAUUUAUUAGAGGUUUACCCUGGCUCCUUUGUUUGGGUUACAUCCCUGUGUAUUUAUUAGAGGUUUACCCUGGCUCCUUUGUUUGGGUUACAUCCCUG